GAGUUUGAUCCUGGCUCAGGACGAACGCUGGCGGCGUGCUUAACACAUGCAAGUCGAACGGAAAGGCCCUGCUUUUGUGGGGUGCUCGAGUGGCGAACGGGUGAGUAACACGUGAGUAACCUGCCCUUGACUUUGGGAUAACUUCAGGAAACUGGGGCUAAUACCGGAUAGGAGCUCCUGCUGCAUGGUGGGGGUUGGAAAGUUUCGGCGGUUGGGGAUGGACUCGCGGCUUAUCAGCUUGUUGGUGGGGUAGUGGCUUACCAAGGCUUUGACGGGUAGCCGGCCUGAGAGGGUGACCGGCCACAUUGGGACUGAGAUACGGCCCAGACUCCUACGGGAGGCAGCAGUGGGGAAUAUUGCACAAUGGGCGGAAGCCUGAUGCAGCAACGCCGCGUGCGGGAUGACGGCCUUCGGGUUGUAAACCGCUUUCGCCUGUGACGAAGCGUGAGUGACGGUAAUGGGUAAAGAAGCACCGGCUAACUACGUGCCAGCAGCCGCGGUGAUACGUAGGGUGCGAGCGUUGUCCGGAUUUAUUGGGCGUAAAGGGCUCGUAGGUGGUUGAUCGCGUCGGAAGUGUAAUCUUGGGGCUUAACCCUGAGCGUGCUUUCGAUACGGGUUGACUUGAGGAAGGUAGGGGAGAAUGGAAUUCCUGGUGGAGCGGUGGAAUGCGCAGAUAUCAGGAGGAACACCAGUGGCGAAGGCGGUUCUCUGGGCCUUUCCUGACGCUGAGGAGCGAAAGCGUGGGGAGCGAACAGGCUUAGAUACCCUGGUAGUCCACGCUGUAAACGGUGGGUACUAGGUGUGGGGUCCAUUCCACGGGUUCCGCGCCGUAGCUAACGCUUUAAGUACCCCGCCUGGGGAGUACGGCCGCAAGGCUAAAACUCAAAGGAAUUGACGGGGCCCC
Molecule: ribosomal RNA, 904 nt
Filed under: uncultured bacterium
Lineage: Bacteria
Description: bacterial SSU rRNA
Rfam family: Bacterial small subunit ribosomal RNA
Source: RNAcentral